Molecule: small nucleolar RNA, 76 nt
Organism: Leptopilina heterotoma
Lineage: Eukaryota; Metazoa; Arthropoda; Insecta; Hymenoptera; Figitidae
Source: RefSeq, a predicted model, not a curated record
UCAAAAUGAUGUAAAGAAAUUUUUUUGAAUACAGUGAUAGAAAUUAUAAUCACGAGCUUUUUAACACUGAAAUUGA